Molecule: ribosomal RNA, 485 nt
Filed under: uncultured bacterium
Lineage: Bacteria
Description: partial 16S ribosomal RNA
Rfam family: Bacterial small subunit ribosomal RNA
Source: RNAcentral
GACGAACGCUGGCGGCGUGCUUAACACAUGCAAGUCGAGCGGUGAAAGCGGAGCUUGCUCCGCUGGAUCAGUGGCGAACGGGUGAGUAACACGUGGGCAACCUGCCCCUCACUUCGGGAUAACUCCGGGAAACCGGGGCUAAUACCGGAUAUGACCUCCCUGGGCAUCCGUGGGGGUGGAAAGUUUUUCGGUGAGGGAUGGGCCCGCGGGCUAUCAGCUUGUUGGGGAGGUAGUGGCUAACCAAGGCGACGACGGGUAGCCGGCCGGGGAGGGCGACCGGCCAGACUGGGACUGAGACACGGCCCAGACGCCUACGGGGGGCAGCAGUGGGGAAUAUUGUGCAAUGGGCGAAAGCCUGACGCAGCAACGCCGCGUGCGGGAUGACGGCCUUCGGGUUGUAAACCGCUUUCAGCAGGGAAGAAGCCGCAAGGUGACGGUACCUGCAGAAGAAGCACCGGCUAACUACGUGCCAGCAGCCGCCGUAA